GAUGAGCGCUGGCGGCGUGCCUAAUACAUGCAAGUCGAGCGAACGGACGAGAAGAUUGCUUCUCUGAUGUUAGCGGCGGACGGGUGAGUAACACGUGGAUAACCUACCUAUAAGACUGGGAUAACUUCGGGAAACCGGAGCUAAUACCGGAUAAUAUUUUGAACCGCAUGGUUCAAAAGUGAAAGACGGUCUUUCUGUCACUUAUAGAUGGAUCCGCGCUGCAUUAGCUAGUUGGUAAGGUAACGGCUUACCAAGGCAACGAUGCAUAGCCGACCUGAGAGGGUGAUCGGCCACACUGGAACUGAGACACGGUCCAGACUCCUACGGGAGGCAGCAGUAGGGAAUCUUCCGCAAAGGGCGAAAGCCUGACGGAGCAACGCCGCGUGAGUGAUGAAGGUCUUCGGAUCGUAAAACUCUGUUAUUAGGGAAGAACAUAUGUGUAAGUAACUGUGCACAUCUUGACGGUACCUAAUCAGAAAGCCACGGCUAACUACGUG
This 497-nucleotide ribosomal RNA is filed under the name uncultured bacterium. RNAcentral's name for it is "partial 16S ribosomal RNA". It matches the Rfam family "Bacterial small subunit ribosomal RNA", at positions 28 to 507 of the family's 1533-position model. The record is from RNAcentral.